RNAcentral lists this ribosomal RNA (435 nucleotides) under uncultured Saccharofermentans sp. Its description in RNAcentral is "partial 16S ribosomal RNA". It matches the Rfam family "Bacterial small subunit ribosomal RNA", at positions 341 to 792 of the family's 1533-position model. The record is from RNAcentral. Lineage: Bacteria; Bacillati; Bacillota; Clostridia; Eubacteriales; Oscillospiraceae.
ACGGGAGGCAGCAGUGGGGAAUAUUGGGCAAUGGGCGAAAGCCUGACCCAGCGACGCCGCGUGAGGGAUGAAGGUCUUCGGAUUGUAAACCUCUGUCGUCAGGGAAGAAGAAUGACGGUACCUGAUGAGAAAGCCACGGCUAACUACGUGCCAGCAGCCGCGGUAAUACGUAGGUGGCAAGCGUUAUCCGGAUUUAUUGGGUUUAAAGGGUGCGCAGGCGGCACGUUAAGUCAGCGGUGAAAUGUCGGGGCUCAACCCGGGCACUGCCGUUGAAACUGGCGAGCUUGAGUACGGAUGAAGUCGGCGGAAUGUGAUGUGUAGCGGUGAAAUGCUUAGAUAUGUCACAGAACACCGAUUGCGAAGGCAGCUGACUAAUCCGCAACUGACGCUCAGGCACGAAAGCGUGGGGAUCGAACAGGAUUAGAUACCCUGGUA